GACGAACGCUGGCGGCGUGCUUAACACAUGCAAGUCGAACGGAAAGGCCCUGCUUUUGUGGGGUGCUCGAGUGGCGAACGGGUGAGUAACACGUGAGUAACCUGCCCUUGACUUUGGGAUAACUUCAGGAAACUGGGGCUAAUACCGGAUAGGAGCUCCUGCUGCAUGGUGGGGGUUGGAAAGUUUCGGCGGUUGGGGAUGGACGCGCGGCUUACCAGCUUGUUGGUGGGGUAGUGGCUUACCAAGGGUUUGACGGGUAGCCGGCCUGGGAGGGUGACCGGCCACAUUGGGCCUGCGAGACGGCCCAGACUCCUACGGGAGGCAGAAGUGGGGAAUAUUGCACAACGGGCGGAAGCCUGAGGCAGCAACGCCGCGUUCGGGAUGACGGCCUUCGGGUUGUAAACCGCUUUCGCCUGUGACGAAGCGUGAGUGACGGUAAUGGGUAAAGAAGCACCGGCUAACUACGUG
This 468-nucleotide ribosomal RNA is filed under the name uncultured bacterium. RNAcentral describes it as "partial 16S ribosomal RNA". It matches the Rfam family "Bacterial small subunit ribosomal RNA", at positions 28 to 507 of the family's 1533-position model. The record is from RNAcentral.